AUCUGUUGUAGUCUAGUUGGUCAGGAUACUCGGCUCUCACCCGAAAGACCCGCGUUCAAGUCCCGGCAAUGAAAA
RNAcentral lists this transfer RNA (75 nucleotides) under Rosa chinensis. RNAcentral describes it as "tRNA RchiOBHm_Chr1g0320491". It matches the Rfam family "tRNA". From Rfam's summary of the family: Transfer RNA (tRNA) molecules are approximately 80 nucleotides in length. Their secondary structure includes four short double-helical elements and three loops (D, anti-codon, and T loops). The record is from RNAcentral. Lineage: Eukaryota; Viridiplantae; Streptophyta; Magnoliopsida; Rosales; Rosaceae.